AGAACGAACGCUGGCGGCACGCCUAACACAUGCAAGUCGAGCGCCCAGCAAUGGGAGCGGCGGACGGGUGAGUAACACGUGGGAAUAUGCCUUUCGGUACGGAACAACUCAGGGAAACUUGAGCUAAUGCCGUAUACGCCCUUACGGGGAAAGAUUUAUCGCCGAAAGAUUAGCCCGCGUCUGAUUAGCUAGUUGGUGAGGUAAUGGCUCACCAAGGCUUCGAUCAGUAGCUGGUCUGAGAGAACGACCAGCCACACUGGGACUGAGACACGGCCCAGACUCCUACGGGAGGCAGCAGUGGGGAAUCUUGGACAAUGGGGGAAACCCUGAUCCAGCGAUGCCGCGUGAGUGAUGAAGGCCUUCGGGUUGUAAAACUCUUUCGACGGGACGAGUAAUGACGGUACCCGUAGAAGAAGCUCCGGCUAACUCGUGCCAGCAGCCGC
Molecule: ribosomal RNA, 443 nt
Filed under: uncultured bacterium
Lineage: Bacteria
Description: SSU rRNA
Rfam family: Bacterial small subunit ribosomal RNA
Source: RNAcentral